This 482-nucleotide ribosomal RNA is filed under the name uncultured bacterium. Its description in RNAcentral is "partial 16S ribosomal RNA". It matches the Rfam family "Bacterial small subunit ribosomal RNA", at positions 30 to 507 of the family's 1533-position model. The record is from RNAcentral.
AUUGAACGCUGGCGGCAUGCUUUACACAUGCAAGUCGAACGGUAACAGGCCGCAAGGUGCUGACGAGUGGCGAACGGGUGAGUAAUGCAUCGGAACGUGCCCAGUCGUGGGGGAUAACUACUCGAAAGAGUAGCUAAUACCGCAUACGAUCUAUGGAUGAAAGCGGGGGACCGUAAGGCCUCGCGCGAUUGGAGCUGCCGAUGUCAGAUUAGGUAGUUGGUGGGGUAAAGGCUCACCAAGCCAACGAUCUGUAGCUGGUCUGAGAGGACGACCAGCCACACUGGGACUGAGACACGGCCCAGACUCCUACGGGAGGCAGCAGUGGGGAAUUUUGGACAAUGGGCGCAAGCCUGAUCCAGCAAUGCCGCGUGCAGGAAGAAGGCCUUCGGGUUGUAAACUGCUUUUGUACGGAACGAAACGGCUCUGGUUAAUACCCGGGGCUAAUGACGGUACCGUAAGAAUAAGCACCGGCUAACUACGUG